RNAcentral lists this ribosomal RNA (450 nucleotides) under uncultured Glomus. Its description in RNAcentral is "SSU rRNA". It matches the Rfam family "Eukaryotic small subunit ribosomal RNA", at positions 569 to 1024 of the family's 1831-position model. The record is from RNAcentral. Lineage: Eukaryota; Fungi; Glomeromycota; Glomeromycetes; Glomerales; Glomeraceae.
CGCAGCCGCGGUAAUUCCAGCUCCAAUAGCGUAUAUUAAAGUUGUUGCAGUUAAAAAGCUCGUAGUUGAACCUCGGGAUCAAUUGAUUGGUCAUGCCAUUGGUGUGUACUGGUCAUAUUGGUUCUCACCUUCUAAGGAACCUUAAUGUCAUUAAUUUGAUGUUUUGGGGAAUUAGGACUGUUACCUUGAAAAAUUAGAGUGUUUAAAGCAGGCUAACGCUUGAAUACAUUAGCAUGGAAUAAUGAAAUAGGACAUCGCAUUCUAUUUUGUUGGUUUCUAGGAUCGAUGUAAUGAUUAAUAGGGAUAGUUGGGGGCAUUAGUAUUCAAUUGUCAGAGGUGAAAUUCUUGGAUUUAUUGAAGACUAACUACUGCGAAAGCAUUUGCCAAGGAUGUUUUCAUUAAUCAAGAACGAAAGUUAGGGGAUCGAAGACAAUUAGAUACCGUCGUAGU